This 350-nucleotide ribosomal RNA is filed under the name uncultured Eubacteriales bacterium. RNAcentral's name for it is "uncultured Clostridiales bacterium partial 16S ribosomal RNA". It matches the Rfam family "Bacterial small subunit ribosomal RNA", at positions 508 to 859 of the family's 1533-position model. Lineage: Bacteria; Bacillati; Bacillota; Clostridia; Eubacteriales. The record is from RNAcentral.
CCAGCAGCCGCGGUAAUACGUAGGGGGGGAGCGUUGUCCGGAAUUAUUGGGNGUAAAGGGNGNGUAGGCGGCCNUUUAAGUCAGAUGUGAAAGACCNCGGCUUAACCCNGGGAUUGCAUUUGAAACUGGCGGGCUUGAGUGUGGGAGAGGGAAGUGGAAUUCCCAGUGUAGCGGUGAAAUGCGUAGAUAUUGGGAGGAACACCAGUGGCGAAGGCGGCUUUCUGGACGGUAANUGACGGUGAGGCACGAAAGACAGGGGAGCGAACAGGAUUAGAUACCCUGGUAGUCNUGCCGUAAACGAUGGAUGAUAGGUGUGGNGGUAUNNNCACCUUCAGUGCCGCAGUAACGCA